RNAcentral lists this ribosomal RNA (447 nucleotides) under uncultured bacterium. RNAcentral's name for it is "SSU rRNA". It matches the Rfam family "Bacterial small subunit ribosomal RNA", at positions 26 to 518 of the family's 1533-position model. The record is from RNAcentral.
AGAGCGAACGCUGGCGGCAGGCCUAACACAUGCAAGUCGAGCGCCCGUAGCAAUACGGGAGCGGCAGACGGGAUAGUAACACGUGGGAACGCGCCCUUCGGUUCGGAAUAACUCAGGGAAACUUGAGCUAAUACCGAAUACGCCCUUACGGGGAAAGAUUUAUUGCCGAAGGAACGGCCCGCGUCCGAUUAGCUAGUUGGUGAGGUAAUGGCUCACCAAGGCUACGAUCGGUAGCUGGUCUGAGAGGAUGACCAGCAUCACUGGGACUGAGACACGGCCCAGACUCCUACGGGAGGCAGCAGUGGGGAAUAUUGGACAAUGGGCGCAAGCCUGAUCCAGCCAUGCCGCGUGGAUGAUGAAGGCCUUAGGGUUGUAAAGUCCUUUUAACGGGGAAGAUAAUGACGGUACCCGUAGAAUAAGCCCGGCUAACUUCGUGCCAGCAGCCGC